CAGUUGGUAGCUCAGUGCUAGAGUGCAUUCUUUGUGUGUAUGCCGUCCUGUGUUCAAAUCCCAGCUGCCCGU
Molecule: non-coding RNA, 72 nt
Organism: Dallia pectoralis (Alaska blackfish)
Lineage: Eukaryota; Metazoa; Chordata; Actinopteri; Esociformes; Umbridae
Source: the annotation of a GenBank genome assembly